CCAAGAAGACAGAACAAGGGAGGUCCUUACUACAGUAAAUAAAUGAAAAUUAGAAUGUUUCUAUAGUUCCCAUAUAGUAUAGUUUCUAUAUAGUGCUGGGAGGCUACUUACCUGAUCAGAAUAGAGAAAGACCUUUUUUUCCAUCCAUGAAGAUGCAACAGAAUAGGGUAAAGAAGAAAUGGAGGAAGAGCUAUCAACUGCAAGACUAAAUAGCCGUUAACUGCAUAAAUGAACAUGUAUCCAUAUAAUAUGUAAUUCAUAUGUAUCACCAAAGCAGAGAAUAUUUGCAGCAACCAGCAGUGGUCGUGGUUUGUAAUUACAGCUUCAAGAAACAGAGGAGCCUGUAUUAAAGGAGUGCAAGGAGACUGCUGCCUACUAGAGACACUACUGGAGCAAACUGGUGAUUGUUGUAGAUGUUGCGCAACUGAUUCUGAAUUGCAAAUCGUUCAUCGUCAGGUAGAUCAUGCUGGGAGGUUGCAUCUUUUUCAUACCCUUU
Strigops habroptila (Kakapo) is the source of this 496-nucleotide long non-coding RNA. RefSeq lists it as uncharacterized. NCBI's taxonomy places the organism in Eukaryota, Metazoa, Chordata, Aves, Psittaciformes, Psittacidae. The transcript is spliced from 3 exons. The record is from RefSeq and is a predicted model, not a curated record.